RNAcentral lists this ribosomal RNA (51 nucleotides) under Bipolaris maydis (southern corn leaf blight pathogen). RNAcentral describes it as "partial 28S ribosomal RNA". The record is from RNAcentral. Lineage: Eukaryota; Fungi; Ascomycota; Dothideomycetes; Pleosporales; Pleosporaceae.
UUGACCUCGGAUCAGGUAGGGAUACCCGCUGAACUUAAGCAUAUCAAAAUC